Non-coding RNA from Oryzias latipes (Japanese medaka), 3274 nucleotides. The record is from RefSeq and is a predicted model, not a curated record. Lineage: Eukaryota; Metazoa; Chordata; Actinopteri; Beloniformes; Adrianichthyidae.
AUUGAUUGGUUGAUUGGUUGAUUGAUUGAUUGAUUGAUUGAUUGAUUGAUUGAUUGAUUGAUUGAUUGAUUGAUUGAUUGAUUGAAGCUAAGUCCCCAGCAUUUUACCUUGUUUAUUCCAGACUGGCGACCUGUCCAGGGUGUCCCCUGCCUACGCUGGGAUAGGCUCCAGCAGCCCCGUGACCCCGAUAGGGAAAAACGGAAUAGAAAAUGAAUGAAAAUGAAAUGAAUGCUUACUCUAAUUGAAAAACGCUGUUUAUUCCUUCUUUUAAGUCUAACAGUUUUUAUUUUAUUUUAUUUAACAUACCCCCACCCCGGUAUUUAUUCCUACUUUUCUCCUAACAUUUGCUCUUCUAUUUUAUUCUAUUUACUCCUAAGGUCCUACCAGAUUUCUUUGAUUUAUUUUAAACUAAAAAUCACUCAAAUCUUUUCACUAAACAUUUUUCUCACAAAACCCUGUUGAUUGUAUUUCCGAUGGAAAUCCACUGAAAAGCCUCCUAAACACACCAGGCUUCCAUGGUUUGGUCAGAUGCCUUUUAAAGGUUAAAGCCACUGCAUUUUUGGCUGCAUGAGAAUUCAUCUCUAGAAAAACAGCUAUAAACUCAGGCUUUCCCCACAGCUUUUCCAGGUCCCUGUAAACAAGCAAGUGAAGCUUUGUGGCAAUCUCUCUACUGUCCAUCUGAACUUUGUCAUCUUUGAGAAACUCCACAAUUGUUUCAACCAGCUCUGCUACAGGAUACAUGUCCUCGUCAUGAAGGCUUGACCCAGAUGUUGAAACUGAAAGUGAGAUCAUCUUUGAAACGGAAUCACUCAAAGCUUUUUCCAGAUACCAGAGGCUGGACGUUCUGCGACUGCACUGAAAAAAACUGGAAAUGUGGGGUUGUUCAUUUACAAACACUAAGCAUGUUUGUUUAAUAUGAACAAAUUAUGUUUACCUUCAAAACAUAUUACAAUCUUGAAGAUCACACUUGAUUUCUAGCAGUGUUAGAUUUAUAUAUUGAAAUCAUGUUGACAACAGGAAACAGUUGUGGUUUGGCCUUUGCCCCUUAAUUUUGGACUGGUAAACCCCGUUAUUCCAGAAGCAUUCCAGGAUGGGAAACGUUGCAGUCAGCCAUUUUGAAACAGCUGCAAGCAGCUGCUGGCUGGAGGAACUUGUAAAAGCCCUCGAGGACAGGUGGGGGGAGGUGUGCGCGGUGUGUUACACUUUGACGCCGCAGGCAGAUUCAGCGGUGAUGCAAUGGCAGUUAUUUCCAAUGUCACGCAUGGCAGGGAAGAGUGGUGAGUACUGUUCCGCCGUGGGAGUUUGCUCUUGAUGAAGGGGCAGUAGGCGCUCGCGGGAACGGCGCCCCCCCCCCUUAGGCAGAAAAUUUGUGGGGGGAAUUCAUCGUCACUUAGUGGAUUUCUUUUUGCUAGACAAAUCCCACAUUGUGGAGACCGAAAUUGAAGGAAAUGUGGAAAGCUUGACAUUAUUUAGCUUUUCCAUACCGUCCGUAGCUCAAAGGGCGGCAUUAUUUGAUCAGCGCACUUCCGUCUCAGUGGCUGUCAAUCAUUCUCCGUGCCGCGUCUGUUCGGUUUGUCAAAUUUACAUAAAUCUUCGAUUUCAAGAAGAAGGGUUGUGUUUCCAUUCUAUAAUGCUGAACUUAUAUUUCUGUGGAGAUUCUAACUUUAAGAGAUUAAAAUUGAUAGAAAAGAUUCAUGUCCUGGCUUGGGGAAAAAGUGUGUUGUAAAGUUUUACAGUCUUAAAUGGUGGUAAUCUACUUUACAGAUUUGACCUGUUUUGGGGUAAAUGAGGGGAACACCCUAUGGGUGGGGUGAUUAGAUACUCCUGAUCUGCUAGCUUAGUUUGCAGUCUCCAUUUCAAAAUUCGCGGGAUUCUCAGUGGGCGGUUUGAAUUCCUUGGUGGGGGGUGUAAUGCAGUUGGUCUCAUUCCUUUAGAAUAGUUUAUUUUUCCAUUGCAGCUAUUGUUUUCAAAACCAUUCAAUCCGUUUAGUUAGUACAAUGAGGAAACACAGCUGUGGACUUGUUUCUAUUUCUUUUUAUUUCAAACUGAACAGGAAACUCAGAAAUCUCUCUCCUGCCUACAGAGCUCAUCACACACUAACUGCUCCUCCCUGAUGAUGGGGUCCAUGAUCUGGUCUUCACUGAGUCAGAUGAAGCUGUCCAUCCUGCACUUUGGCAGCUCUGCAGCUGUUCGGCUAGGCGAGUUGGUCCUGGCCUUUGGCAACCCGCCCGCCUUGAAAAGGACUGUUACCCAGGGAACAGUGAGCACAACAAGGAGGAUCAAAGACCCUGGCCUCCAACAGGACAUUUAUCCAGUGUAGCGCCUUCAUCACUGUGAGCUCCCACUGUGGGUUGGGUCUCUUCCUUUCCAUUGCUCUCAUAGAUUGUCACCCCUCCCCACCACCACCACCCCACCCCACCCAGUCAGCGGAGCAGAGUGCCCUUUUUUACCAAGAGGGACUUCGUUCCAGACAUCGUGGACGCCACAACACCAGUUGGGUUCCGGAGACGUACAUUCUUCAGGAGGCACAGGAACUGGAGAACAGGAAAUGGGUCUGAUUGUGUCCUCACCGUUUUCCAGGUGGAGCUGAAGAGUGGGGGUUAUUUGCAGGCCACCAUGGAAAAGAGUGAAUGAGGAAGAAGACCUUGCCCUCGUUAAUUCAUCGAUCCCCCUGCCUUAUCUUCAGUUCGGCAGCGGUGCGGCUGCACGGCCAGGGGAGGCAGUCUUUGUUUUCAGGAGCCCUUCUGGAUUGCCACUGUGGUUGGGUCAGUGUGUCCGUGAGGAUCGUUCAGAACUUACUGACUGAAGCUUUUCCCUGAUUACCCCACCCUAUCCGAACAGCCUCCCCAGCCCCUAACCCAAAAACUUUACCUGCCCCACCCCCCACUUGACCCCUGUAGUAGGUGGUGUCAAAGAUCUGCUCAAAUGUGCAUUGAUCCUAAACCUAACCCCAACCCUAAUGAACCCUUAACCCUAAUCCUAAACCUAUCCAACCCCCACUUGACCCUAACCCUAGUGAACUCCCCCCCAACCAUAGCAUAACCUCCACCCAUCCGUGACCUGACAAUAAUCCUAACCCCAACCCUAGUGAAACCAGUCCCCCCACCCCUAAUCCUAGUUAGGUUUUAUAUAUGUUGUAAAGAAUGUACAUUUAUUACAACAUGUAUUAAACAGUUCCUAUGUGUGUGUUGGUGUGUAUAAAUGUGUUGUUGACUCUUAUAGUUCAUCAAAUGUGUAACAUCACAAAAAAGUUAAUAAAGGUUUUAUUGUUUCA